CAAGUCGAACGAACCUUCGGGUUAGUGGCGGGCGGGUGAGUAACGCGUGAGAAUCUGCCCUCAGGAGGGGGAUAGCGGCUGGAAACGGCCGCUAAUACCCCAUAUGCCGAGAGGUGAAAUGAAUUUCGCCUGAGGAUGAGCUCGCGUCUGAUUAGCUAGUUGGUGGGGUAAAGGCCUACCAAGGCAUCGAUCAGUAGCUGGUCUGAGAGGAUGAUCAGCCACACUGGGACUGAGACACGGCCCAGACUCCUACGGGAGGCAGCAGUGGGGAAUUUUCCGCAAUGGGCGCAAGCCUGACGGAGCAACGCCGCGUGAGGGAUGAAGGCCUCUGGGCUGUAAACCUCUUUUAUCAAGGAAGAAGAUCUGACGGUACUUGAUGAAUAAGCCACGGCUAAUUCCGUGCCAGCAGCCGCGGUAAUACGGGAGUGGCAAGCGUUAUCCGGAAUUAUUGGGCGUAAAGCGUCCGCAGGCGGUCUUGUAAGUCUGUCGUUAAAGCGUGGAGCUUAACUCCAUUUCAGCGAUGGAAACUGUAAGACUAGAGUGUGGUAGGGGCAGAGGGAAUUCCCGGUGUAGCGGUGAAAUGCGUAGAUAUCGGGAAGAACACCAGUGGCGAAGGCGCUCUGCUGGGCCAUAACUGACGCUCAUGGACGAAAGCCAGGGGAGCGAAAGGAUUAGAUACCCCUGUAGUCCUGGCCGUAAACGAUGAACACUAGGUGUCGGGGGAAUCGACCCCCUCGGUGUCGUAGCCAACGCGUUAAGUGUUCCGCCUGGGGAGUACGCACGCAAGUGUGAAACUCAAAGGAAUUGACGG
Molecule: ribosomal RNA, 811 nt
Filed under: uncultured bacterium
Lineage: Bacteria
Description: bacterial SSU rRNA
Rfam family: Bacterial small subunit ribosomal RNA
Source: RNAcentral